UAAAAAUGAUAUGAUAACAUUAUUCUUUUUGCUUGUUCAUAAAGGUAUUUUGAUGUCGUAGUAUUGCCAGUAUAAAGUAAAGAGGAGUGCAUGAAGAUAGUAUAGCCGUACAGGAGUAUAUUCUGAAUCGAGUAGGGUUUGUACGAAAGUUGUUCCUUCUUUUAUACAGUCUCAUAUGUAAGCUUUCUUCUGGUCCACAAAUGGAGAACAAACAAGGUUCCCACUUCCAUUUGUCA
This 236-nucleotide long non-coding RNA is filed under the name Oryza brachyantha (malo sina). RNAcentral's name for it is "long non-coding RNA (OBRA_LNC002525)". Lineage: Eukaryota; Viridiplantae; Streptophyta; Magnoliopsida; Poales; Poaceae. The record is from RNAcentral.